AUUGAACGCUGGCGGCAGGCCUAACACAUGCAAGUCGAACGAGUGGCGGACGGGUGAGUAAUUUCUGGGAAACUGCCUGAUGGAGGGGGAUAACUACUGGAAACGGUAGCUAAUACCGCAUACCAUCAGAUGUGCCCAGAUGGGCUUAGCGUGUUGGUGGGGUAACGGAUCACCAAGUCGACGAUCCCUAGCUGGUCUGAGAGGAUGACAAGCCACACUGGAACUGAGACACGGUCCAGACUCCUACGGGAGGAAGCAGUGGGAAAUAUUGAACAAUGGGCGGAAGCCUGAUGCAGCCAUGCCGCGUGUAUGAAGAAGGCCUUCGGGUUGUAAAGUACUGUCAGCGGGGAGGCGUUACCCGCAGAAGAAGCACCGGCUAACUCCGUGCCAGCAGACGCGGUAAUUC
RNAcentral lists this ribosomal RNA (406 nucleotides) under uncultured bacterium. Its description in RNAcentral is "partial 16S ribosomal RNA". It matches the Rfam family "Bacterial small subunit ribosomal RNA", at positions 30 to 526 of the family's 1533-position model. The record is from RNAcentral.